This 777-nucleotide long non-coding RNA is filed under the name Vigna radiata. Its description in RNAcentral is "long non-coding RNA (VRAD_LNC004318)". Lineage: Eukaryota; Viridiplantae; Streptophyta; Magnoliopsida; Fabales; Fabaceae. The record is from RNAcentral.
GAUACCCGUCGGGUACCCGCAUAAAAAAACCCGCAGAUUUUUUUUCAACCCGCGGGUAUCCGUUGGAUACCCGUUAACCUUUCUUUUUCAAAAUUUAUAAACCCUAGAUCUGCAGUUCAAAACUCCCAUCUACAUAGUUCUGCACUUCAAAACUCCCAUCUACAGAAAAACAUUUCAGAUCUGCACUUAAGAAUCUCAUAUCUGCAUCAAAGGAUCUCAGAUCUGCGUUAAAGGAUCACAGAUCUACACCAAAGAGUCUCAGAUCUGCCUCUCGUCGUCGCUCCUGAUGCGUUUCGGCAUCUCAAGCUCUGCGAAUAGGAUCACCUCUUGUUGGAAGAAGAAGCUGUCGCGAUGGGAUCACCUGUUGUUGGAAGAAGAAGCUGUUUCGUGAAUGGUGGAAGAAGAAGCUUCCGCGGACGGAGCCGUGAACGGUGGAAGAAGCUGCAAUAACGGGGUCGUUGAAGACGGUGGUUCUUGUGGUUGGUAGGUGGCGGAGAUUCUUGUGGUUGGUAGGUGGUGGAAAGAAGAAGAAAAAUGAAUAUUAAGAAAGAAGAAGAAAGAAGAAGAAAGAAGAAGCUUUGAGAGAGAAGUCUGAGAGAGAAGAAGAAAAAUGAAGCUUUUCACUUCUUUGCAAUGUAGCUUUUCACUUCUCUGCAACAUUUUUUAGUUUUAUUUUGUAAUUUUAUAUUUUAAUUUAUUUUGUAAUUUUAUAUUUUAAUUUAUUUUGUAAUUUCAUAAAAAGAUAAUAGAUAAAAUUGGAAUUUAGUUUUUUAAACG